GACGAACGCUGGCGGCGUGCUUAACACAUGCAAGUCGAACGGAAAGGCCCUGCUUUUGUGGGUUUCUCGAUUGGCGAACGGGUGAGUAACACGUGAGUAACCUGCCCUUGACUUUGGGAUAACUUCAGGAAACUGGGGCUAAUACCGGAUAUGAGCUCCUGCUGCAUGGUGGUGGUUGGAAAGUUUCGGCGGUUGGGGAUGGACUCGCGGCUUAUCAGCUUGUUGGUGGGGUAGUGGCUUACCAAGGCUUUGACGGGUAGCCGGCAUGAGAGGGUGACCGGCCACAUGGGGCCUGAGAUACGGCGCAGACUCCUACGGGAGGCAACAGUGGGGAAUAUUGCACAAUGGGCGGAAGCCUGAUGCAACAACGCCGCGUGCGGAAUGACGGCCUUCGGGUUGUAAACCGCUUUCGCCUGUGACGAAGCGUGAGUGACGGUAAUGGGUAAAGAAGCACCGGCUAACUACGUG
This 468-nucleotide ribosomal RNA is filed under the name uncultured bacterium. RNAcentral describes it as "partial 16S ribosomal RNA". It matches the Rfam family "Bacterial small subunit ribosomal RNA", at positions 28 to 507 of the family's 1533-position model. The record is from RNAcentral.